GACACCAAACGGGAGCAGAGUCACCACAAAGGCCACAGCUCUGAGCACGGAGAAAGGUCUUCUUGAGACUUCCUCUGAAGCUCAGUGAAUGAUCUGUUCUCAGCGGUAAGGGAUUAAACAAAGGGCCAAUUGUCAAAAACCCCAGCCAGGGACCAGCCAAGCUUCCUGUGCAGCCAUGAGUGCCUGAGGCGGCCUUUUGUUCUGAGAGGACACCACAUAGCCUCCGCCUCCCCUGGAGUCAGAAAACCAGUCAAGCAGGAAAGCACUGUUGAGAACCUACUCUGUGGAAGGUGCUGGGGGAACACAGAGAGGAAGGCCACCCAGAGCCCAGAAAACAGAGGCAACCGGCCAGUGUUUGCCAAAUGAAGGCUGACGGAGCUGAAUGCUUUGGUGAGAGAGGAAGGAGAUUACGCAUGUGCAAAACAUGGCAUCCGCUUUAAUAAACAGCGAUUCCACAAGGUAGGUGGCACCCCGACUGACAAGGAAACUGAGGACCAGCAAAGAAACAAUCCAAGGUGUGAAGAGAAGGGACUGGAACCGGGACGAGCCCGAUUCCAACACUGCACCUCUUUCCACUCAGCCGCGGAGAGAGUACAAGCACAAAGAGAGAAGGAUGCCCCCAGAAAACUGACGUCCUCAGGAGGAGGCAAUGCUUUUCCCUAAGAGGAAGGAGCCCUGAGGGAGGAGAUGCAGACGUUCUUAGUGGGUCAAUGCCCUCCUGAGGUGGGGACCAAUCCAGACCACGGAAGGCAGCAAGCUGAGGCCUGGGCCCGGGACUCAGGAGAUGGAGAUUUGAGUCCUGGCACCACAGCGUACUAGUUCUGUGACCCUCAGAAGUCACUCACCCUUUCUGAGCCGUGGCUUCCUCAUCUGGAUAACAUGCUGCUUAACUCGAAGAAGAGUUGUCAGCUAAAAAAGAUUGACAUUAAUUUUGUUAAUUUGUGUUAACCUUUGGUAUAUGACAGAAUGGGCAAUAAAUAUUUGUUAAAUAAAGAUGAGUUUUAUUUCUGGAAAGCCAUCCUGUAUUUAGACUCAGAACAGACCGUGGACUUGGGAAGAUAUGGAAUAAAGGCAAUAAUUCAU
Equus caballus (horse) is the source of this 1083-nucleotide long non-coding RNA. NCBI's taxonomy places the organism in Eukaryota, Metazoa, Chordata, Mammalia, Perissodactyla, Equidae. The record is from Ensembl.